This 433-nucleotide ribosomal RNA is filed under the name uncultured bacterium. RNAcentral describes it as "partial 16S ribosomal RNA". It matches the Rfam family "Bacterial small subunit ribosomal RNA", at positions 29 to 507 of the family's 1533-position model. The record is from RNAcentral.
AGCGAACGCUGGCGGCAGGCCUAACACAUGCAAGUCGAACGAACUCUUCGGAGUUAGUGGCGGACGGGUGAGUAACACGUGGGAGCGUGCCUUUUGGUUCGGAAUAACUCAGGGAAACUUGUGCUAAUACCGAAUGUGCCCUUCGGGGGAAAGAUUUAUCGCCAUUAGAGCGGCCCGCGUCUGAUUAGCUAGUUGGUGAGGUAACGGCUCACCAAGGCGACGAUCAGUAGCUGGUCUGAGAGGAUGACCAGCCACACUGGGACUGAGACACGGCCCAGACUCCUACGGGAGGCAGCAGUGGGGAAUCUUGCGCAAUGGGCGAAAGCCUGACGCAGCCAUGCCGCGUGAAUGAUGAAGGUCUUAGGAUUGUAUAAUUCUUUCACCGGGGACGAUAAUGACGGUACCCGGAGAAGAAGCCCCGGCUAACUUCGUG